This 230-nucleotide non-coding RNA is filed under the name Anaerotruncus sp. Its description in RNAcentral is "T-box sequence". It matches the Rfam family "T-box leader". Rfam says of the family: Uncharged tRNA acts as the effector for transcription antitermination of genes in the T-box leader family. T-boxes are found upstream of many aminoacyl-tRNA synthetase genes and some amino acid biosynthetic genes usually in Gram-positive bacteria. The anticodon of a specific tRNA base pairs to a specifier sequence within the T-box motif, and the NCCA acceptor tail of the tRNA base pairs to a conserved bulge in the T-box antiterminator hairpin. Lineage: Bacteria; Bacillati; Bacillota; Clostridia; Eubacteriales; Oscillospiraceae. The record is from RNAcentral.
AACAACGCUGAGAUCGGGAAAGUAGCCUGUCCCCCGCUGAUUCAGAGAGGUUUGUCACCGGCUGAAAGCAAACUGCAGUGGAAACAGGUGAAGUUCGCCCGUGAGCGGCUCCGCUGAACCGGAAGAAGUAGGCGGCAGACGGUUUGCCCCGUUACCGGCAGCAGGAGUGCCCGGCCUUGGCUGGGAAUAUGGGUGGUACCACGGACGCUUUUCAGCGGUUCGUCCCUUUU